GGUGAGUCCAGGUGCUGGUCCAGUUCCACCUGGAGUACACACCCAGGUGAGUCCAAGUCCUGGUCCAGUCCCACCUGGAGUACACACCCAGGUGAGUCCAAGUCCAGGUCCAGUCCCACCUGGAGUACACACCCAGGUGAGUUCAGGUCCUGGUCCAGUUCCACCUGGGGUACACACCCAGGUGAGUCCAAGUCCAGGUCCAGUCCCACCUGGAGUACACACCCAGGUGAGUCCAAGUCCUGGUCCAGUCCCACCUGGAGUACACACCCAGGUGAGUUCAGGUCCUGGUCCAGUUCCACCUGGAGUACACACCCAGGUGAGUCCAAGUCCUGGUCCAGUCCCACCUGGAGUACACACCCAGG
Molecule: long non-coding RNA, 362 nt
Organism: Melanotaenia boesemani (Boeseman's rainbowfish)
Lineage: Eukaryota; Metazoa; Chordata; Actinopteri; Atheriniformes; Melanotaeniidae
Exons: 2
Source: RefSeq, a predicted model, not a curated record